RNAcentral lists this ribosomal RNA (253 nucleotides) under uncultured Zavarzinella sp. RNAcentral's name for it is "partial 16S ribosomal RNA". It matches the Rfam family "Bacterial small subunit ribosomal RNA", at positions 524 to 776 of the family's 1533-position model. The record is from RNAcentral. Lineage: Bacteria; Pseudomonadati; Planctomycetota; Planctomycetia; Gemmatales; Gemmataceae.
GACGAACCGUGCGAACGUUGUUCGGAAUCACUGGGCUUAAAGGGCGCGUAGGCGGGCCCCCAAGUCCGGGGUGAAAGCCUCCCGCUUAACGGGAGAAGAGCCUCGGAGACUGGGGGCCUCGAGGAGGGUAGGGGCGUGCGGAACUAUGGGUGGAGCGGUGAAAUGCAUUGAUAUCCAUAGGAACUCCGGUGGCGAAGGCGGCACGCUGGACCCUUUCUGACGCUGAGGCGCGAAAGCCAGGGGAGCAAACGGG